CGGCAUGGUCACGGGCUCAAUAUCAACAUGAAAAUAGAUAAUGCAAGACUACUUGAGCAUGAUCAAUAAAUGUCAAGCUUCAUACUCCUAAACUAGUAUAAGUGGCAUGCCACUGUCUAUGCUUGUGCGAAUGUACUAUUACAAUCCAAGUCAACAAGUAAUAUCAAAGACAUUAGAUAGGUCAUUGAGAGCAACACAAAAAGUCACAUAAGGUGCAUGACAUACACAAGGAAGAUAACACUAGCAUACGAAUAUCAUUAACACAAUGCCCCUGGCCAUCACACAUCAUCCCUGACAUUGCCACCCUUAUCUGAUAGUCACUCGUAUCACUCUGCCAUGACCAUAUCAUUAGCCACCCAUAUCACUCUGCAUAAUAGCCAACUUUAUCGCUUCUCUUGGACAAUAACAUAAUAGCCACCCAUAUCACUCCGCACAGUUAACAGCAAUGAGAUGUCACCCUUAUGCUCUGCAUAACAACAGUAAGAUAUCAAAAUCUGGCCCAUUAGAUGAGGAUUACCCAAGAUAAUAUAAAGAGCCAAUGAAACCUAUAUCCUACUGAUGUGGGAAUCAACAAGUACAAAAUCUUGAACCAUUAUUUCCUCUUUUCUUCUUUUUGAUUCUUCUCUCUUUUGUUGCCUUAGAUUAUGCCUGAAGCCCCUGAACUCUUCAUCAGCAUCACUGUCAUCUUCAUCGACUAUGCUCUUCAAGUAUUCAUUAAAAUCUAAGUCUUUAGUGUCACUACUAUUUAGAUUAGUCCUCACAACACCAAUACCAGAUGGAUUUGCAUCUAGGUUUGCUUCUAAACCUCUAAUAGCCACUAUUUGUUUUUAGUAUAGUAUUUAUAUUUAGGUGAAACCCUUGACCUAAAUUUAUUUUCCCUAGCCUGUGAGUAAAUUAUAAAAUCUGUAGGCACCAUAUUUUCACUAUCAUAGUACCAUCAACCACAUGGUUAAUGUAAAUGUCUGAAAAGUCCUCUUGCUUCAAGCUCGAGACAAGACCCAAAUGUUCAAAGUUAUUUUUCAAUAGUUUAAAUUGUUUUUUUUGUGUCUUAGUAAUAAAACCCGUCAAUUAUAUAGUAUCCUAUUUUACAUGAAUAAUAAUUAAUUUCAACUAAAGAAAAAUGAUCUAAGUCGAUACCCCACUAUCUAACCCAUGAUUCCCCCUCAUAUUUGGAAAAUUCUCUCUCGAAAUUUUUUUUUCCCGUAUGAAAUCUAAUAUUUAUAACACUAUCUAUGUGGAAUUGCAGCAGAAUAAAGAAAUAUGAAUAUUUCCCAAAAUCCUUGACGAAAGUCUCAACUUUUAACCUCAAAUAAUGAGAAAAACUAACUCAUUUAAACUACGAAUUCAUGACAAAAAUAAUUUACUGUAGACGAAAAUAAAAGAAAUAUCUAAAAAAAGGUUCUUCAAAAUCCUUGACUACAAAAUCUACAAUCAACCUUCAAUCCCCGAGUGUAAGAGGAAAUCUCCACCUUUACAUGAUUUCAUCUUGAUCUUUGUUGAAGUUUGGGUGAAAUUUUACUUUAGAGUUAAAGAGAUGUGAUUCAAACUCAAUGGAUUUGAUUAGGGAUGGGAG
This 1573-nucleotide long non-coding RNA is filed under the name Nicotiana benthamiana. RNAcentral's name for it is "long non-coding RNA (NBEN_LNC004393)". Lineage: Eukaryota; Viridiplantae; Streptophyta; Magnoliopsida; Solanales; Solanaceae. The record is from RNAcentral.